GUGCUUGCUUUGUCAGCACAUAUACUAAAAUUAGAUACAGAGAAGAUUAGCGUGGCCACUGUGCAAGGAUGACGUGCAAAUUUAUAAAGUAUUCCAUAUUUUU
Choloepus hoffmanni (Hoffmann's two-fingered sloth) is the source of this 103-nucleotide small nuclear RNA. The record is from Ensembl. Lineage: Eukaryota; Metazoa; Chordata; Mammalia; Pilosa; Megalonychidae.